RNAcentral lists this ribosomal RNA (253 nucleotides) under uncultured bacterium. RNAcentral's name for it is "partial 16S ribosomal RNA". It matches the Rfam family "Bacterial small subunit ribosomal RNA", at positions 524 to 776 of the family's 1533-position model. The record is from RNAcentral.
UACGGGGGGGGCAAGCGUUGUUCGGAAUUACUGGGCGUAAAGGGCGCGUAGGCGGCCUUCUAAGUCGAACGUGAAAUCCCCGGGCUCAACCCGGGAACUGCGUCCGAGACUGGAAGGCUUGAAUCCGGGAGAGGGAUGUGGAAUUCCAGGUGUAGCGGUGAAAUGCGUAGAUAUCUGGAGGAACACCGGUGGCGAAGGCGGAUCUCUGGGCCAUUACUGACGCUGAGGAGCGAAAGCGUGGGGAGCGAACAGG